AACGAACGCUGGCGGCAUGCCUAACACAUGCAAGUCGAACGAGACCUUCGGGUCUAGUGGCGCACGGGUGCGUAACGCGUGGGAACCUGCCCUUAGGUUCGGAAUACCUCCCCGAAAGGGGUGCUAAUACCGGAUAAUGUCUUCGGACCAAAGAUUUAUCGCCUUUGGAUGGGCCCGCGUUGGAUUAGCUAGUUGGUAGGGUAAAAGCCUACCAAGGCGACGAUCCAUAGCUGGUCUGAGAGGAUGAUCAGCCACACUGGGACUGAGACACGGCCCAGAAUCCUACGGGAGGCAGCAGUGGGGAAUAUUGGAAAAUGGGCGAAAGCCUGAUCCAGCAAUGCCGCGUGAGUGAUGAAGGCCUGAGGGUUGUAAAGCUCUUUUACCCGGGAUGAUAAUGACAGUACCGGGAGAAUAAGCUCCGGCUAACUCCGUG
RNAcentral lists this ribosomal RNA (433 nucleotides) under uncultured bacterium. RNAcentral's name for it is "partial 16S ribosomal RNA". It matches the Rfam family "Bacterial small subunit ribosomal RNA", at positions 29 to 507 of the family's 1533-position model. The record is from RNAcentral.